Molecule: long non-coding RNA, 677 nt
Organism: Mercurialis annua (annual mercury)
Lineage: Eukaryota; Viridiplantae; Streptophyta; Magnoliopsida; Malpighiales; Euphorbiaceae
Exons: 2
Source: RefSeq, a predicted model, not a curated record
AUUUAAGGGUGGAAUUGCUAGAGGUGCCAACUUCAAGUAUUGCAUCUCAAAUUUUUCCAUCAAAUGAAAUUGAUGAAGACACCUCAUAACCCUCCACCUCUUCAAUAUUAAUUUCUCUAGCAAACAUAAUUUGGAUCAAUGGAAAAUCAAAGCCAAACCCUUGUUUAUGCAAAGUGCCGAAGGUUUCAUCACUUUCACCAUGACAAUGGAACUCCCACCACGGCAAACUCCAUAGAUCAACCAUCCGGCCACCAAUUUCAGAGAUUUCAGCUCGGUUGUGAAGCCAACAUCUAGGGAUCAAGGUGAUAGUAUUUGAAGAGAUGGACUUCCAUUCUUGUUUCGGAAGUCUGCAAUAUAUAAAGUAUGUAUUGAAGUACGCUUCAAUUCGUAGCGCUGCCGUAGUCAGUAGAUGUCAGUCUAUAUUUGAUUGUUUAUAUCAAACAAGGUCCAGCUGUUAACUCUGAUUUUAUAAUCUAUACAUACACGGUUUAUAAAACUAUGUUUUUACCAGUUUGAUAUUUUCACCAAUUGUGUAUGAAUGAAAUUGGUAUGAAAUUGUUUGACUCGGAACAAGGCAAUGCUGAGUUAUGUUAUCGCAGAGUAAGACCUUGGUUCCUAUCGAUUAUGCAUCGGUUUUCAAAGAACGGUUUCGACGUAUAUGAAAUAUUGUUUUACGA